This 468-nucleotide ribosomal RNA is filed under the name uncultured bacterium. Its description in RNAcentral is "partial 16S ribosomal RNA". It matches the Rfam family "Bacterial small subunit ribosomal RNA", at positions 28 to 507 of the family's 1533-position model. The record is from RNAcentral.
GACGAACGCUGGCGGCGUGCUUAACACAUGCAACUCGAACGGAAAGGCCCUGCUUUUGUGGGGUGCUCGAGUGGCGAACGGGUGAGUAACACGUGAGUAACCUGCCCUUGACUUUGGGAUAACUUCAGGAAACUGGGGCUAAUACCGGAUAGGAGCUCCUGCUGCAUGGUGGGGGUUGGAAAGUUUCGGCGGUUGGGGAUGGACUCGCGGCUUAUCAGCUUGUUGGUGGGGUAGUGGCUUACCAAGGCUUUGACGGGUAGCCGGCCUGAGAGGGUGACCGGCCACAUUGGGACUGAGAUACGGCCCGGACUCCUACGGGAGGCAGCAGUGGGGAAUAUGGCACAAUGGGAGGAAGCCUGAUGCAGCAACGCCGCGUGCGGGAUGACGGCCUUCGGGUUGUAAACCGCUUUCGCCUGUGACGAAGCGUGAGUGACGGUAAUGGGUAAAGAAGCACCGGCUAACUACGUG